Cyprinus carpio (common carp) is the source of this 256-nucleotide long non-coding RNA. Lineage: Eukaryota; Metazoa; Chordata; Actinopteri; Cypriniformes; Cyprinidae. The record is from Ensembl.
GUUUUGGAGAAAGUGUCACACCUCUGGUCCAGGGGGAAGGCGAGCACGAAACACUGAGAACGCGGCAGAUGCAACACCUCCCAAGCUGAAGGGUUUCAACAAAAACAGCAGAGGGAGGCGAGCAAUGGAUGCGUGAUGGAUUGUACAUGAUGCCUGAAGAGAAUCAAAAGUGAAGAUCCCUGAAUGACAGCCAGGAUUAGUUGGAGGAGAAAAGGACUUGUAGCAGGAGAUGACACAGAUGGACCGAAUUAAUUUG